UACAAGCUACGAUGUUCGUAUUUCAUUAAGUUUUAACCUCUAAAUGAAAUAUAGGGAGUUUUAUAUCGGAGCUCUAAUGUCGAGCCGCCAUGGUAGAGCGGAAGGCAGGAAAGCUUCUGCAAACACCCACUUGGUGAAGUGGUGGUUUAAAACUUUUUAUUUCAAAUACGGCAUAUGUGGCUAUUGA
Molecule: non-coding RNA, 187 nt
Filed under: Ornithinibacillus bavariensis
Lineage: Bacteria; Bacillati; Bacillota; Bacilli; Caryophanales; Bacillaceae
Also listed under: 1 other name
Description: 6S / SsrS RNA
Rfam family: 6S / SsrS RNA
About the family: E. coli 6S RNA was the first non coding RNA to be sequenced, but its function was unknown until recently. It consists of 184 nucleotides that fold into an extended hairpin structure with a large single-stranded internal bulge.
Source: Rfam by way of RNAcentral